Long non-coding RNA from Nylanderia fulva, 717 nucleotides. RefSeq lists it as uncharacterized. NCBI's taxonomy places the organism in Eukaryota, Metazoa, Arthropoda, Insecta, Hymenoptera, Formicidae. The record is from RefSeq and is a predicted model, not a curated record.
GCGCUACAAGCGGCGCUGUGCGCCAGUGCGAUGCAAUGUUUGUUAUUCCUAACCUCUGGACAUAAAAUCUCUGGACUAAAAAUUUAAUAAUUAUGAUUGUAAUAAACUAUAAGUGAAAUUUUUUCGCCUGAAAAGCAUGUGACGUAUAAUAAAAUAUUUAUUUAUUGUACACAUAUGUGUAUAUUGUAGAUAGUAUGUGUGCGCAUGUAGAUAUAUAUGUACAUAAAGAGAGAGAAUUAGUAAACACACACUACUUAAUAUGCAAUAAAUAUUAUUGAUGAACACAAAUGUGUGCAAUAAAUAAACAUUUAUAUAUUACGUGAUGGAUGUCUGUAAUAAGUCUACGACAGCAAUGCUGCGAACAACAGUACUGCAAAGAUCUGAAGCAGUAAAAGCUGUUCUCUGUCAAGAUCAUUACUUUGAAACACAUUCUAUGUAAGAAAUAAUAAAGAAGAAUACAUUGAGAAGGAAAUGAAAGACACACCGAGCAAAUUCCACAAAUGUAAAGACUGAGUUUGAUGAUUCGCACAUGUGAUUAUAAAGAGAGAAGAGGAACUUUUAGUGGAAAAAAGAUGAAAUUGGAGUCUACAUUAAUAGAAGAAUGAAACGAAUAUUAUUGGAAAAAUAAUGAUGCAAGCAAAAAAGUAUUUUACUGGCAUCUUGCAACACUUUUCCUUUUUAGACCAAAACUUUUCUGCUUAAAAAUUUAUAAAAAUC